GAUGAAGAACGUAGCGAAAUGCGAUACGUAAUGUGAAUUGCAGAAUUCAGUGAAUCAUCGAAUCUUUGAACGCAUAUUGCGCUCUCUGGUAUUCCGGAGAGCAUGCUUGUUUGAGUAUCAGUAAACACCUCAACUUCCAUAUCUUUUUUUGAAAUGGGAGUUGGACUUGAGUGAUCCCAACGCUUUUCCUCACCGAAAAGUGGCGGGUUACUUGAAAUGCAGGUGCAGCUGGACUUUUCUCUGAGCUAUAAGCAUAUCUAUUUAGUCUGCCUAAAAAACAGAUUAUUACCUUUGCUGCAGCUAACAUAAAGGAGAUUAGUUCUUAUGCUGACUGAUGCAGGAUUCACAAAGACAGCUUCGGCCGACUUUGUAAACUCGAUCUCAAAUCAAGUAAGACUACCCGCUGAACUUAAGCAUAUCAAUAAGCGGAGGA
Molecule: unclassified non-coding RNA, 433 nt
Filed under: soil metagenome
Description: partial contains 5.8S ribosomal RNA, internal transcribed spacer 2, and large subunit ribosomal RNA
Rfam family: 5.8S ribosomal RNA (bases 1-120)
Source: RNAcentral